GACGAACGCUGGCGGCGUGCUUAACACAUGCAAGUCGAACGGGCCCGCUCUCUUUUUUGGGGGGGGGUUGAGUGGCGAACGGGUGAGUAUCACGUGAGUAACCUGCCCCCUGCUUCUGGAUAACUGCUUGAAAGGGCGGCUAAUACGGGGUGUGCCGGCUGGUCCGCAUGGGCCUGGUCGGGAUGGUUUCAUCUUCGGGUGUUUCGGUGGGGGAUGGGCUCGCGGCCUAUCAGCUUGUUGGUGGGGUGAUGGCCGACCAAGGCGGUGACGGGUAGCCGGCCUGGGGGGUUGGGCGGCCAAACGGGGACGGGGACACGGCCAAGAUUCCGGCGGGAGGAGGCGGUGGGGGGUAUUGAACAAUGGGCGGAAGCCUGAUGCGGGGACGUGGCGUGAGGGAGGGAGGCCUUCGGGUUGUGAACCUCUUUGUCCGGUGGUGAAGGCCCUGUCCGUUGCGGCGGGGUUGACGGUAGCCGGGUAUGAAGCGCCGGCUAACUACGUG
This 499-nucleotide ribosomal RNA is filed under the name uncultured bacterium. RNAcentral describes it as "partial 16S ribosomal RNA". It matches the Rfam family "Bacterial small subunit ribosomal RNA", at positions 28 to 507 of the family's 1533-position model. The record is from RNAcentral.